GAUGAACGCUGGCGGCGUGCUUAACACAUGCAAGUCGAACGGAAAGGCUCCUGCUUGCAGGGGUACUCGAGUGGCGAACGGGUGAGUAACACGUGGGUGAUCUGCCCUGCACUUCGGGAUAAGCCUGGGAAACUGGGUCUAAUACCGGAUAGGACGAUGGUUUGGAUGCCAUUGUGGAAAGUUUUUCGGUGUGGGAUGAGCUCGCGGCCUAUCAGCUUGUUGGUGGGGUAAUGGCCUACCAAGGCGUCGACGGGUAGCCGGCCUGAGAGGGUGUACGGCCACAUUGGGACUGAGAUACGGCCCAGACUCCUACGGGAGGCAGCAGUGGGGAAUAUUGCACAAUGGGCGCAAGCCUGAUGCAGCGACGCCGCGUGGGGGAUGACGGCCUUCGGGUUGUAAACUCCUUUCGCUAGGGACGAAGCGCAAGUGACGGUGCCUGGAGAAGAAGCACCGGCUAACUACGUG
RNAcentral lists this ribosomal RNA (465 nucleotides) under uncultured bacterium. RNAcentral's name for it is "partial 16S ribosomal RNA". It matches the Rfam family "Bacterial small subunit ribosomal RNA", at positions 28 to 507 of the family's 1533-position model. The record is from RNAcentral.